Molecule: ribosomal RNA, 2923 nt
Filed under: Klebsiella pneumoniae
Lineage: Bacteria; Pseudomonadati; Pseudomonadota; Gammaproteobacteria; Enterobacterales; Enterobacteriaceae
Also listed under: 1 other name
Description: bacterial LSU rRNA
Rfam family: Bacterial large subunit ribosomal RNA
Source: RNAcentral
GGGUUGUGAGGUUAAGCGACUAAGCGUACACGGUGGAUGCCCUGGCAGUCAGAGGCGAUGAAGGACGUGCUAAUCUGCGAAAAGCGUCGGUAAGGUGAUAUGAACCGUUAUAACCGGCGAUGUCCGAAUGGGGAAACCCAGUGCAAUUCGUUGCACUAUCGUUAACUGAAUACAUAGGUUAACGAGGCGAACCGGGGGAACUGAAACAUCUAAGUACCCCGAGGAAAAGAAAUCAACCGAGAUUCCCCCAGUAGCGGCGAGCGAACGGGGAGCAGCCCAGAGUCUGAAUCAGCUUGUGUGUUAGUGGAACGGUCUGGAAAGUCCGACGGUACAGGGUGAUAGUCCCGUACACCAAAAUGCACAGGCUGUGAACUCGAAGAGUAGGGCGGGACACGUGGUAUCCUGUCUGAAUAUGGGGGGACCAUCCUCCAAGGCUAAAUACUCCUGACUGACCGAUAGUGAACCAGUACCGUGAGGGAAAGGCGAAAAGAACCCCGGCGAGGGGAGUGAAAAAGAACCUGAAACCGUGUACGUACAAGCAGUGGGAGCACCUUCGGGUGUGACUGCGUACCUUUUGUAUAAUGGGUCAGCGACUUAUAUUCUGUAGCAAGGUUAACCGUAUAGGGGAGCCGCAGGGAAACCGAGUCUUAACUGGGCGUUAAGUUGCAGGGUAUAGACCCGAAACCCGGUGAUCUAGCCAUGGGCAGGUUGAAGGUUGGGUAACACUAACUGGAGGACCGAACCGACUAAUGUUGAAAAAUUAGCGGAUGACUUGUGGCUGGGGGUGAAAGGCCAAUCAAACCGGGAGAUAGCUGGUUCUCCCCGAAAGCUAUUUAGGUAGCGCCUCGUGAAUUCAUCUUCGGGGGUAGAGCACUGUUUCGGCUAGGGGGUCAUCCCGACUUACCAACCCGAUGCAAACUACGAAUACCGAAGAAUGUUAUCACGGGAGACACACGGCGGGUGCUAACGUCCGUCGUGAAGAGGGAAACAACCCAGACCGCCAGCUAAGGUCCCAAAGUCAUGGUUAAGUGGGAAACGAUGUGGGAAGGCACAGACAGCCAGGAUGUUGGCUUAGAAGCAGCCAUCAUUUAAAGAAAGCGUAAUAGCUCACUGGUCGAGUCGGCCUGCGCGGAAGAUGUAACGGGGCUAAACCAUGCACCGAAGCUGCGGCAGCGACACUAUGUGUUGUUGGGUAGGGGAGCGUUCUGUAAGCCUGCGAAGGUGUGCUGUGAGGCAUGCUGGAGGUAUCAGAAGUGCGAAUGCUGACAUAAGUAACGAUAAAGCGGGUGAAAAGCCCGCUCGCCGGAAGACCAAGGGUUCCUGUCCAACGUUAAUCGGGGCAGGGUGAGUCGACCCCUAAGGCGAGGCCGAAAGGCGUAGUCGAUGGGAAACAGGUUAAUAUUCCUGUACUUGGUGUUACUGCGAAGGGGGGACGGAGAAGGCUAUGUUAGCCGGGCGACGGUUGUCCCGGUUUAAGCAUGUAGGCUGGUUGUCCAGGCAAAUCCGGAUAAUCAAGGCUGAGGUGUGAUGACGAGGCACUACGGUGCUGAAGUAACAAAUGCCCUGCUUCCAGGAAAAGCCUCUAAGCAUCAGGUAACAUUAAAUCGUACCCCAAACCGACACAGGUGGUCAGGUAGAGAAUACCAAGGCGCUUGAGAGAACUCGGGUGAAGGAACUAGGCAAAAUGGUGCCGUAACUUCGGGAGAAGGCACGCUGGUGUGUAGGUGAAGUCCCUGCGGAUGGAGCUGAGACCAGUCGAAGAUACCAGCUGGCUGCAACUGUUUAUUAAAAACACAGCACUGUGCAAACACGAAAGUGGACGUAUACGGUGUGACGCCUGCCCGGUGCCGGAAGGUUAAUUGAUGGGGUUAUCCGUAAGGAGAAGCUCUUGAUCGAAGCCCCGGUAAACGGCGGCCGUAACUAUAACGGUCCUAAGGUAGCGAAAUUCCUUGUCGGGUAAGUUCCGACCUGCACGAAUGGCGUAAUGAUGGCCAGGCUGUCUCCACCCGAGACUCAGUGAAAUUGAACUCGCUGUGAAGAUGCAGUGUACCCGCGGCAAGACGGAAAGACCCCGUGAACCUUUACUAUAGCUUGACACUGAACAUUGAGCCUUGAUGUGUAGGAUAGGUGGGAGGCUUUGAAGCGUGGACGCCAGUCUGCGUGGAGCCAACCUUGAAAUACCACCCUUUAAUGUUUGAUGUUCUAACGUUGGCCCCUUACCGGGGUUGCGGACAGUGUCUGGUGGGUAGUUUGACUGGGGCGGUCUCCUCCCAAAGCGUAACGGAGGAGCACGAAGGUUAGCUAAUCCUGGUCGGACAUCAGGAGGUUAGUGCAAUGGCAUAAGCUAGCUUGACUGCGAGCGUGACGGCGCGAGCAGGUGCGAAAGCAGGUCAUAGUGAUCCGGUGGUUCUGAAUGGAAGGGCCAUCGCUCAACGGAUAAAAGGUACUCCGGGGAUAACAGGCUGAUACCGCCCAAGAGUUCAUAUCGACGGCGGUGUUUGGCACCUCGAUGUCGGCUCAUCACAUCCUGGGGCUGAAGUAGGUCCCAAGGGUAUGGCUGUUCGCCAUUUAAAGUGGUACGCGAGCUGGGUUUAGAACGUCGUGAGACAGUUCGGUCCCUAUCUGCCGUGGGCGCUGGAGAAUUGAGGGGGGCUGCUCCUAGUACGAGAGGACCGGAGUGGACGCAUCACUGGUGUUCGGGUUGUCAUGCCAAUGGCACUGCCCGGUAGCUAAAUGCGGAAGAGAUAAGUGCUGAAAGCAUCUAAGCACGAAACUUGCCCCGAGAUGAGUUCUCCCUGAGACUUUAAGUCUCCUGAAGGAACGUUAAAGACGAUGACGUUGAUAGGCCGGGUGUGUAAGCGCAGCGAUGCGUUGAGCUAACCGGUACUAAUGAACCGUGAGGCUUAACCUUACAACGCCGAAG